RNAcentral lists this ribosomal RNA (253 nucleotides) under uncultured bacterium. RNAcentral's name for it is "partial 16S ribosomal RNA". It matches the Rfam family "Bacterial small subunit ribosomal RNA", at positions 524 to 776 of the family's 1533-position model. The record is from RNAcentral.
GACAGAGGGGGCAAACGUUGUUCGGAAUUACUGGGCGUAAAGCGCGUGUAGGCUGUUUUGCAAGUCGGAUGUGAAAGCCCUGGGCUCAACCUAGGAAGUGCACUCGAAACUGCAGAACUGGAGUCCUGGAGAGGAAGGCGGAAUUCUCGGUGUAGAGGUGAAAUUCGUAGAUAUCGAGAGGAACACCGGUGGCGAAGGCGGCCUUCUGGACAGUGACUGACGCUGAGACGCGAAAGCGUGGGGAGCAAACAGG